RNAcentral lists this unclassified non-coding RNA (1182 nucleotides) under Hevea brasiliensis (rubber tree). The record is from RNAcentral. Lineage: Eukaryota; Viridiplantae; Streptophyta; Magnoliopsida; Malpighiales; Euphorbiaceae.
CACAGGAGCACCCACAAUAGGCACAAGCCUCACACUCAACUCAGCACUACUCAAAUUCUUAACAACAUAUUUGAAAUCAUAAGCUGCAAAACUCCCAACUUCCUUGUAAAUAUCCACUCUACUCACAUUCUCACCAUUCACUACAAUCUCAAACACCCUUUUACCUGCCUUAUUCACACUAACAUCAAUUUCAGCAAAAUGAAACCAUAAUAAGUAAUCCAAUUUAGCGUCUACCGGUAACAGAUACUCCAAAAAUUCACCCCCUUCACCAAUUAUAGUAACUGCAGAUUGGUACAAUUUCAAAGGAAAAUAAUUUGGAGCUCUAUCUACAUUUAUCACAUUUUUAAUAGCAGAAAUAGCUUUAACAGUUGCUCCUGUGGUUUUAACGGCAAUCUUAGACCGGAAAUCGGCAUCCGAUUGCCAUGACCGGCCGAACCGGUCAGUGUCGUUGCUAAAACCGGGUCCCCAUUGAUCCGACCCGCUAGAAAAUCUACCAUAAUUCACCAAAAUUGAAGUGUCAUUGACUAGAUAAGAAGCUGGAUCAAUUUGGGUAAUUUCAAGAGAAGCAAUAACCGGUGAGUCAGUGGCAAUACUGUAAAAACAAACAUUAGCUUCAUCAUCGGAAACUGUAAAAAACAGAUCGGAAUACGCGCCGGCGCGUGAGAUAGUUUCGUGCCAAGGUGACCUCCAUUGAAAGACAACAUUACCCUCAACGGAAACAUCAAACGACGGCGAGUGCGACUUUCCGUCGUAAUUAUCAUACACUGUAAACGUCCGGAGCUGGUACCUGCCGGAGGGCAAAUUGGGGAUCACAUAACAGUUCUUCUUUCCAGAUGAAAUGGGGAAAUAACGAAGGGUUUUCUCCUGUGAGUGCUGAAAGUGAAGAGGUUCCGAUACAACGGAAAUUGCUCCGCCGGUAAAGUACCGGUCGGAAACCCAUGUAGUAUUGAAGAUAUCAGUUGAAUUUGAGAGACCCCCACAAUCAAUAUGCAAAGAGUAAUUGUAAGGAUAGUGAAGAGAAGAGGAAGAAGGGAGGAAAGGGAAGAGGCAAAUGAAGCAGAUGAUGAAGAAAAAAUGGAAAGGAGUCAUGGUGUAAUAGGGAAGAGGAAGAUAUUGUUGGUUCUUUGUACAUAUGAAAAAGCUAUGGCGAUUGCAUGGUGGUGGAGUGGUGGCGUGGGGGUG